This 697-nucleotide long non-coding RNA is filed under the name Nicotiana benthamiana. RNAcentral describes it as "long non-coding RNA (NBEN_LNC014915)". Lineage: Eukaryota; Viridiplantae; Streptophyta; Magnoliopsida; Solanales; Solanaceae. The record is from RNAcentral.
AGUCACAAGUCUCAUCAUGCCUGGCUCCUCCAGCUCUUUGAUUAGUCUUCCUUUAAAAGAUUUUCCUCAUGCCAAACAUGGAAUACCUAUCAUGUUGUUGUUCAGACUAAUCUUCUUCUUCACUCCACUUAUCAUCUCUUCUUCAGUUAUCUUCAAUUGUUUUCCUUUUGCAGCUGACCUAGUUCUCUUGGAAAGAGAAGGUUCAGCAGAUACUGACUUGGAGGGCUUCUUGGCAGAAGUCCUGGUUCCUUUUUAUUUGGUAGUGGGAACAUCCAUAGUAGUACCCCUUUCUUGAUGGACCAGUUCCAUCUCUUCUUCCUCCUCUUCAACCACUGCCUCAGAACUUUCACCUAUUUUUGUUUUCCCUUUCUCUUUCCUCUUUUUCUUACUCUCUUCUAAAGCUUUCUUCAACUGUGUUCCACUCUCCCUAAUCCUACUUCUAGUUGCUCUAACCCUAGAAGCAGACUUGGGUGAUGAAGGUUUUCUUUUCUUGGUUGGUUCGGACGCACUAGGGGUCUUUUGUGAGGAAGCCUUGCAUUUCUUUGGGUCAUAACCGGACUCCACCUUCUUUAGUUAAUUAGCCAAUCUCUCCUUCCCAGAUGAACAUGGUUCAUCUUAUUAUUUUCUCAGAUUAACCAAACCCUCAGCGGCUUACUCCUGAUCCACUUCCCCCUAACUUCGAUACUCCCUCUUCCCC